Molecule: long non-coding RNA, 2181 nt
Filed under: Mus musculus (house mouse)
Lineage: Eukaryota; Metazoa; Chordata; Mammalia; Rodentia; Muridae
Description: long non-coding RNA chr13:117985229-117987410
Source: RNAcentral
UAGGAUCAGUACCACUCUUCAUGAAAAGAUCAUCUGCAUUGGACAUUCCAUCUGUAGAUGGUGGUAGUGUCUAUGGGAAUAGCAUAACAAAGGUUUGUACAGCAUGACAAAGAAUUGUCUUACAGUAUGUAUGCAAGAAAUUUUUUAGUUAUUUUAAGGGUUCUUUUUGCUCUACUGAUAGCUAUCAUUUCAGAAGAAAGAACCAUGAUAAAAUCUUCCCUAUAUAAAUAGGAUUAAGAACUCCCAUCAUCAGUGUUAAUGGGCAAAGGCAUUUCUUUCUAUAACUCUCUUAUUGGUGAACAUUUCAAUAUUUUCUUUUCUUUCCUUUAUAUUUCUUCCUCUUUCCUUUCUUUCCUUCCAUCUUCCUCCAACAUACUCUAUUUCUACUUUCUUGUUUUCUAUACAUUUUUAUUAUUUUUGUAUCACCACAUAAUCCUGGCUAUUCUAGAAUUUAUUGUAUAGACCAAGAUGCUCUUAGACUUAAGGAAAUUCUUUUGCCUCCUAAAUGUUUGGAUUAUAGGUGCAUACCACUGUAACUGAUUGAAAGUCUAGUUUUUAUAAGAUUGCACAUUACACAAUUAAAAAGGAUUUGACUUAGAAGAAAUAAAGUGAGUAACGGAAAGACCAAGGGGAAAACUCAGAUUAAUUUGACAACAUCAAAGUGGACUAACUGUGUUUUCCACAGGUUUCCUAAUACCAGAUUCAUAAAAUCUGUAAUAUUAUACAUGUAAUUAGUGAGAAUUAUAGUUGGGAGCAUGGAUCUCAUCUAACAGAUUUUUCUAAUUAGUGAAGCUUACAAAUUCCUAUUAGGAACUGGAUGCUUAGGCAGAGGUGUUCAAAUGGUAACAUCUGAAGAAUAGCUAGUGAUCCAUUUAGAUGUAUUGUUACUUUUAUGUUGUUUGGAACUCCUGGUAUAAAUACCACUUUGUUUUCUUUUGCUUAUGUCAACUUUCUUGAUAUAUAUAUUCAAAACCAGGCUAUUAUUUUUGCUCCUUGUUUAGGUGUGCAUUAACUAAUAAAAUUACUUACUUGAAUAGUGAAACGUGUCAUUAAGAAACCCUAGGUAUUGUGAAUAUGGUUAUGAUUUUAAAAAUAAGUAUUUGAGGCUAGAGAGAUGACUCAUUGGUAAGAAUAUUUACUGUUCUUGUAGUGGACCUCAGUUAAGUUUGUAUACUCACACAGUGGUUCACAACUGCUUUUUACUACACUUCCAAGAAAUCCAGGAAUCUAAUGUCUUCAACUGUUUGCUAAGGGUACCCUGAGCACAUGGUAUACAUACAUGCACAAAAAAUAAAAAUAUAUAAAUCUUUUCUUUUUAAUAUUUACAAAGAAAAAUAAAGGGUUGUGCCCUAAGUUUAUGUUUAAAGAAAGAAAUAGAUGAUAACCAACUCAGCAAAGACAUAGAUACACAUGAAUAAAGCAUUGAAGGAAGGGGGUGUAAGGGAGUGCCCAGGAAUAAGGACUAGGAGGAGAUCCUAUUUUCAGUACCGUGGUCGAGGAUGAUUAAGAGAAAAAAGCAAACAAUAAUCAAUGACCACAGGCAGGCAGGCUAUCUAAUAGUCUAUCCCUUUCAUUACCUUACUACUGAGACUGUGACCCAUGGAUUAGCAACAUUGGAAUCUUCCAGAGUUUGUACUAAGAACAGGAUCCUAGGCCUGAUGCCACACAGGCAGAAAAUGUGCUUUCUAGCACAGUCCUGGGAAAUUAACAUGUGUUUUACUAUGAAGAUCCAUGCACAUGGUAAAGUCCUAGAAGAGGAAAAAAUUUUCAUGUAAAUGGAUGUUUCUGGGAAUGGCACUUCACAAUAAAGAACCAUGGCUACACAGGAAGAAUAAGGGGGGCUCAGAUAAACAUUUAGGUCCUGACAGUCAUGACCAAUUUUACAUACCAUCAUUUUAAAUUUGGAUCAUGCAGUAUUCACUUUAGCUUGCACUCCUUUCCACAGCCUGCCUCCUGGUACUUCUAUGGGACCAGAAAAGAAUAACGGUCAUGUUAAAAUUUCCUCAUUUUAACUGUCUUGCUGUCACUGUCAUCAAUGAUUUGGUCUACAUAAUCUGGUAUAUUAUCUCCCCAGCUACUGUUUCAUGUUAACAACUACACAUUAUCACUGUAAAAAUAAGUUGUCCAGUGUUCUGUAAAUGCUUCUAUUUCCCCAUUAAAUCCAUGCACUUGCGGUGUUUU